GAUGAACGCUAGCGGCAGGCUUAACACAUGCAAGUCGAGAGGCAGCGCGAUGUAGCAAUACAUUGGCGGCGACCGGCGCACGGGUGCGUAACACGUAUGGAAUCUGCCCUUUACUGGGGGAUAGCCCGGAGAAAUCCGGAUUAAUACCCCAUAAUAAUCGAGGUGGCAUCACCUUGAUUCGAAAGCUCCGCCGGUAAAGGAUGACCAUGCGCACGAUUAGCUAGUUGGUGGGGUAACGGCUCACCAAGGCUACGAUCGUUAGGGGGCCUGAGAGGGUUAGCCCCCACACUGGUACUGAGACACGGACCAGACUCCUACGGGAGGCAGCAGUGAGGAAUAUUGCGCAAUGGAGGCAACUCUGACGCAGCCAUGCCGCGUGCAGGAAGAAGGCGCUACGCGUUGUAAACUGCUUUUAACCGGGAAGAAACCCCAGGACGUGUCCUGGGUUGACGGUACCGGAGGAAUAAGCACCGGCUAACUUCGUACCAGCCGCCGCGGUAAUAC
Molecule: ribosomal RNA, 504 nt
Filed under: uncultured bacterium
Lineage: Bacteria
Description: bacterial SSU rRNA
Rfam family: Bacterial small subunit ribosomal RNA
Source: RNAcentral